GAUGAACGCUGACAGAAUGCUUAACACAUGCAAGUCAACUUGAACUUCGGUUUGGGUGGCGGACGGGUGAGUAACGCGUAAAGAACUUGCCUCACAGCUAGGGACAACAUUUGGAAACGAAUGCUAAUACCUGAUAUUAUGAUUAUAUGGCAUCGUAUAAUUAUGAAAGCUAUAUGCGCUGUGAGAGAGCUUUGCGUCCCAUUAGCUAGUUGGAGAGGUAACAGCUCACCAAGGCGAUGAUGGGUAGCCGGCCUGAGAGGGUGAUCGGCCACAAGGGGACUGAGACACGGCCCUUACUCCUACGGGAGGCAGCAGGGGGGAAUAUGGGACAAUGGACCGAGAGUCUGAUCCAGCAAUUCUGUGUGCACGAUGAAGUUUUUCGGAAUGUAAAGUGCUUUCAGUUGGGAAGAAAAAAAUGACGGUACCAACAGAAGAAGUGACGGCUAAAUACGUG
Molecule: ribosomal RNA, 454 nt
Filed under: uncultured bacterium
Lineage: Bacteria
Description: partial 16S ribosomal RNA
Rfam family: Bacterial small subunit ribosomal RNA
Source: RNAcentral